CUCUGUUUCUUGCUGUAGUCGCUCAUGAGUGUGGGGCUGAGUGGGAAAAGGAGUGGUCUUGGCAAACAGCUUAUUAGUCUCAAAUAAAUUAUUCAGAACACAGGUUUGGAUACAGAUUGCAGGGAACGAUAAUGGAGUUGGUUUUCUGAGCCUGUUCAUGUUAUGAAGACAUGGAGUAUGCUUUUCAGGAAUUCACUUAAGUGGAAUCAGCGUUGAAUAACGUAGUCUGGAAGUAAUAUUGCUGCCAUCCAGCUAGUGUCUGUGGAACAGCAUUCUCCUGCCUCCUGAAGCAUUGGUGUUGAAGAUGGAUAGAUAGGGAGAUAUUUAUUUUUUGGCCUUUUUUUUUUUUUUUUAAAGGGCAAUUCUUUCUAAUCACUAGAGAGGGGCAUGUUUUGGCCGAGAUUUUUCCCCCCCCGAGUGAAAUAGUGGACCACAUCAGCAUCCGAUUUGGGUGCGUCAUGUGGUUUCUCAUGUGAUGCUGGUCUCACUGCGCUUUGGAGAGUGAGCCUUUGUGACUCCGCACUCUUGGACAGUAGCAUCCAGCAACACAGGAGACUUUGGGGAAGGAGAGGAGAAGAGACACCCCCUCAGAAAACCCCCAAAGCCCAGAAAAAUAAAGCAUAAAGCUGCACCGUUCGGAAGAAGCGAGAUUGUCUUUCCUUACAGCUACGACGCUGCACCGCUCUCAACACAGCCUGCUUUUCCCCCCAUUUACCUGGGCGGCUGCUGCUGUUUCUGCUGCUGCUGGGGCUGCUGCAGUCUCACUGCCUGUGCUUCACCCGGGCUGGGCUGACUCGAAACUCACUCGUCUGCACAUUGCUAAGGAAGAAGAGCGAUGGAGCCGCGUUUUUUCUGUUGGUUCUGGAAGCAAAGGGUUGCGAUAUGUGAUGGUUUUGGGGUUUUCUUUGGGAGGGGGGAGCGUAAAGGAGAAAGGAGGGGUGUUAAUCUAGGAUGGGGUGGGUGAAAGCUUAAAGAAAUAUCAUGUAAAGUAAUCCAGUGCUCGACAAGGGCAUCAGCAGCAAGAAUCCAGCCUCUGCUGCUCCAGAGGAUUAACAUGGGGAAGCCACAGUGCUGCAGUCGGGUUUCACCUCAGCGUUGUGCUGGAGAUGGAUAAAUAAGGUAUCGGUUGUGCCUGCCUGUUAAGGCAAAGCCAUGGGAGAAGGAGAGAGCGAGCGAAUGCAAAUGCAAAGGAAGAAGAAAUGCUACGUGCCGUCUGUCUGAUUCUGUGCAUUCUCAUUGCAGAGAGGACAGCUUGAUUAACAAAGCAGCGUAUGGACGGAGGGACUGUAAAUUGUAGCUCGAACACUCGUGAUGCUGUCAGGGAGGGAACUGAUGAGCUAGGUGGCUGCAGCGAUAUCCCCAGGGAAAACAGCAGCCACGCACUCUGUGUGUAUAGAUACGUAUGUGCGUGCUUUUGUGUGUGUGUGAGCAUGUAUAAACAUGAAAGACAGACAUUUCUGACCAAUUUACAGAGGAAGUUUGUCACUUGGCUGGGUCAGGCUUGAUUGCAGCUUGUAUUUUCAGCUAGAGCUCUACACCCAUUUCCUGACUGAGGCGGCACUUUGCGAAAGCAGAUGUAGGCAGAAUUCUGUUAAGAAACGUGAAAGCAGAUCCUUUCCGCUUAACACCUUGAAGCACUGAAUCUUCUGCACUGUGCUGAGGGAAACUGUGGGGUUUCGUUUUCUCCAUCUUAAAAUCUUUAUAAACACAGCUGUAUUCAGUAUGGUGAAAAAUUCUAUACUGUAAAUAGAAAUGUGAUCAAUCUAAUCAAAAUAAAUGCAUCCCAGAUGACUUCUAGACCAGCUGGCUACCACAGUCAUCAGAUGGCUAAAUGCUCAACUGAGCAUUUAUAUUCAGCAUUAUAUUUACGUCUUUUUGUUUGUUUGUUUUAGAAUUUCAAAUUCAGCUUCUAAUUAAAAAGGAUUCUUCAUCUAUUGAGAAAAGACAAUGCUCGCAUUUGGCAAUAGAUUUCUCUAAGAUGUACCUGGGUGUAUUUUUUUAUUGCCAAACAUGCUUGGGGGAGACUGCGUUUUUAGAGCAGGUAGACUUGUCACAGGACAGGCAGAUUUACUUUGGUAGGCAGCUUGGCUUGGCCAUGUCUGAACAAUGCAGAGAUAGGGGAAACAAGCGCUGCACUCAGCUAGCAGGGCUUGGCAUGGCUUCUAGCAGCUGCCUACUGAGAAAGAGGGGGGUUUUUUUUCUUCCUUUUUUUUUUCCUUUUAUACAAAUCCAUAGACCAUAAUGUCAUCCUAAAACGUGUACGGGGGGAUUUCCCAAUAGUCAUGGUGAGCUACCCUGCAAGACGCCUGUCUGGCCCUUCCACUAUUUGUUACCCAGCCUACAAAGGCAGCCCUGUGUGUUGGAUUAUAUUUAGCCAGCUGUUGGAUAACAUUCUUGUGCUGGGGGCAAAGGAGUCUUAUUACUCCCAAACUGUAGUUUUCUGUUUGCUUAAAGAAAAAUAACCUUGGCAAUACAGCAGGCUCUGCAAAGGAGUUCAUGCCACUCCUAUACCUCUCUGAAACUGUGGUGUGCUUCUAACUCAGGCAGUUUAAAGCAAGCAAGGAGGAGGAAGAGAGACUCUUAACUCACAGCUUCAAAGCUGCAGAGACGAGCAAAAUGUCAGCAGCUUGUAAUUAGGAGUCCACGGUUACGUCAGUGACUGUAUCUCUCCAAGAAUAGCUAUGUGAUGUGUGCCACAAAGCAAAGGAAGACAGUCAUAACCUGGUUAUCAAGCCUGGUUCAAACAAGAAAGAGCAAAAUGGAUUAAUGAAUCUGCUGUGUUCCUAAAUCAAAUGUGGAUGCACUACAUGUACAAGGCUUGCUGAAUCCUGCAGCAGUGAAGACUGAAUUAUCAGUUUGUCAGAGGGCACGCAUUCACUGAGUGAAAGUGUGAAUCCUUCAGGAAAAAAAUGCAGAGGAACCGUCUAUCCUAGAAAAUGUCUUUCCCAGCUCCAUCCCAUACAGGCAGCUGCGUGACACGGAGGCACGCUCUGAAAGGAGAGACCGGCGAGCCGCACGGAGGUGUUUAAAAGGAAGGGUGUAAUUAAACACAAAGCAAGCGCACUGAAAUUCUGUUCUGGCGUUACAGAUUUGAUACCGAAAUACCACCCCAGAGAAGACUCGCUAGGGUCUGGUGUGGUUUAUAUUAAGGUUUCUCUGGUUGAGAGUAAGGGGGGGGUGGAAAGGGCUUCGUGCAGCAUCUUGCAGCCACACAGCCGUCCCCAGGGCUGCGCGGGGAAGAGGGAUGCGUGCGGCUACGUGCUCUUAAAGGCACAUGCCCGGACCCCACCAGGAGCUUUCUGACCUCCGCGAUUAUUUUUUGGUCCGUGCAGGCAACUGGGCAGCAUUUAAGCAGCGAGAUUGCGGGGGGGGGGCUUAAUCUGCUCCGACUGGCCUUUCUCUGCGUUGUGGCUGGAAGAUGUUUACAGGGCUUUUAUCAAUACCCCUUCACAAUAUUCAGUUUGCGUGUCUGUCGCUGCUCACGCCGCCCAAUUGCUAAGAAGCCUGGCGCGGUUCCCUGCUCCCAGCAGAAGCCGGUUGUAGUUCAGCUCUGUUUAUGUCGCUCUUUAAUUUACCAGGAUAGGUAGAUUGCAUUAUGCAAACAGUGGGGUGGUUUUUUUUGUUUUUUUUUUUUUUUUUCCCUUGGACUGUGAACACAAACUUGUAGGAGGAGAUGACUCUGUAUAUUAAACCAAUAGCUCUUUGAAUUGUGUGUAGUAUAAUUUAAAUAUACUUACUUUAAUUAAUAGAAGGUUACAAAAGCUGGCAUUGUCUGGGGCUGUUUAAUUUACAUCUUAGGCUUAGUCAAUGAGCAUAACCUGCCUGAUUAGAAUAGUGUAUUCUGCGUAGCCAACAGGGUGGAAGACAUUAUUUUGUUUGUGUUAGUUCAAACAGCUGGUCAUUAAUGCAGGCCCCAUCUCCAGAGUGAAGUGCUAGUGGACAUGAAUGGCUGCCUGAUUAAUGCUGCCCCUCGACGGGUCCUUCAUCCAGCAGCGAUGCUCGCAGCAGAAUAAUGCAGCGUGAUUUGAUUGCGCUCUAACAGGGUAGUAUGUCAUUGUGUCACCGAGCAAUCGAGGUUAUUAUGGGGCAGGGCAGACAGACGGGACAGUGGGGUUACUAGACCGUGGCAUUUUUAGAAAUGCAGGCCUGACCUACUUAGAGUUAUUCUUGCUGGCUGGCAGCUGCCUGGUGCAGGGCUCCCCCUGAUAGGCUGCGGCUGUUGCUAGGGGGAAUUAGCAUGAAUUUUUCCACAUACAGACUCGGUGAUUGAAUGAUAAAAGCUGACUGGAAUUAAAGAGAUUCGGUUCAGUAUUAUGCAGAUUUAUCUCCCUCCUUUUUUUUUUUUUUUCUCUCUCAAAUGCAUAAAAAAGGAGCAGAAGACAGUUUGUUUCCAUUUAUUUUUGACCUAUUUUUUUUUUUCCAGGGGAGGGCAGAAGUGUUGUGAAUUUUUGAUCAUCAUUUACUAUUUAAGGCGUUGAAAUGAUAUGACAGUGGGCAUGCAUCUUUAAUGUAUGGGAGAUUCAAACGGUGUCUCUUCGGAAGGGAAUGAAAUGAAUGUAUUUUGUGUUCUGGUCAGACUGCUGCCUCUUUCUGUUUGAAGCUAUGUCAGAUUCCCUUGUCUGGAAAGGGGAAACAUAUACCAGGUUUUAUUGCAUAACAUUACUCUCGGCUAUUUUUAGCUAUCUGUACUUCACAAAAUUAGUCCUAUGUUUAUGCUGGUGGAUGAAAUUAAUCCCCAGACUACGUCUCCUAUAUGCAGAGACAGACGCCAAGGGUAUGCUGCAGUGUUGUGUGUCAUGUUCAUCUGAAAAGGUGUUUACAUACUACAGACAUAUCAGCACUGCAUACCUAGCAGAGAACUGAUGCCUGGCCUGUAAUCAGAUCAAUUAGAGAACCUCUUCUGGAUUUUGGAGUAUUUUUCAGGCUUUGGUUUGAACAUGGAUUCUCUAGAUGAUACCCUUUUUUAUUUAUCUACAUCUGCCUAAAAUAGUGUUAUCUUUUCAGAGAAUUCUGUGCUCCCUCAGGAAGCAAAUAAAAACAAUACUCAGUGAAGAAUCCUUCAAUGUAAUUAUGAAUAUUUCCUUUGUUAUUAUCACUAAUUAUAGAAGAUCUUUGUUUAAACCGCAAUUCCCCUCUGUGUGAUCCUUUACCAUGCAAAGAAGUUACAAUUUAGUGCUUAUAAUUUUAAAUUAAUUUUUCAUGGCGACGCAUCAUGACACCAGAUUCGAAGACUUGGGAAUUUUCAAAGUAAGAGGCAGUUGGGGAUGGGGGAGAGGGACCCAAAAGUCUUCCGAAUUGCAAAAUAAAAAAUGUGAGUGGGUGCUGAAAAGUAGAGAGCUCAUUUGUGUCUGAAAGGAUUUCAUUUGAAAUACUUGGACGAAGGAGAUAACCUUUCAGAGGGGGGUGAGCAGCCUGCACGUCUGUCCGGACAGCCAGCAGCCUCCCCGGACGCAGAGCUCCCCUGCCUUGGCCCCUGGAGCUUCUCGGGAAGGUAUGAAGAGGAAGCAACUGGAAAUGGAGACAAGCAUUUGAAUGCGUUUUGUGGCCAAGGCAAAGCAUUCAGUUCCUACAGAUUUGAAUUUCCUAUGUCUCUUUCCUGGCCUUGGUUCAUUACUGAAACUCACACCACUUCCUUCGCUGCUCCUUCCUGACGGUCCCAUGGAGUGACGGUUUUUUAGAGAAGUGAAAGUGAAGAGAGGCACUAUUUGAUGCCCAGUAAUUGUGUUCUCCUUGGCUGUCCCUAGAGGUGACUCCAGAAAGCGAAACUGCAGUUCUGGUCCCACUUCCCUCAGCAAUAUUCUCUUCAUCAAAGCCUGAUGUCUUGACCUGCUUUCCUGUGGGAUGCUGUCAGUGGCCGUGGCUUCCCACCUGGGCUGUGGUUUUCACACUGGUCUUCCAAACUUAUCUCUGUGUUGUGUUGUCUGCUGAGCUUCUCCCCAGUUGCUUUCCCAGUGACGAACCGGUUCAAGUGAUCAGAGAAAAGGGCUGGAGCAUGGCCGGGUUCACCCCAUCCCAGUGCCAUCCCAGUACGGUGGCUCGUACCCAGGUGGGCAGCCUCUUUGCUACCAGAAGGGAAGUACUGGCAUGGAAGUCAGUUCCUUAUGGGAGGAAAAGCCAACUUUGCUUUCGGGAUGCUAGGCAACAGCCAGCCUUUGUGUGCAAUUGCCUGUUGAGGUUCUUGCCCUUGUUGGUUGUAGCCAGCUGUAGUUGCAUCCAGUUCACCUGGGAUAUUAGCUAACUUGGACUUCAGCAAAUCAAAAUGAGUGUGCAAUGUUAUAUUAAUUUCAGCAGAAACCUAUUUGCUAGAAAAAUUAUUUGACUGUCGUCUUAUUUUGGUAUAUUCCUGCUAAAAAAGAGGGAGUCCAAAGAAAAGCAACAAACAAUAUGAAGCGUAUACUCUGUGGAAAAGAGUUGUAUCCUCGAUGUUUGUUUAGGAUUUCAACGCAGUGAACUUCUAUAACAAACAUCAAAUCAGACAGCUUAACAAACCAUCAAGUGACAUAUUAAAUAUAGAAAAUGCAGUGCACUAGAAAUUGUAUUCAACAUUAGGUUACUUUUCUGAAAGUAUCUUUAAUGGGAAUUAUUCCAAAUAAAUGAAUGUGUGAAUAA
Molecule: long non-coding RNA, 6609 nt
Organism: Aquila chrysaetos chrysaetos
Lineage: Eukaryota; Metazoa; Chordata; Aves; Accipitriformes; Accipitridae
Exons: 2
Source: RefSeq, a predicted model, not a curated record